GUUCUGUCAUCAUAAACUGAAUCCAUAGGUUUAUGAAGCGAGACGCAGUGAAGUGAAACAUCUCAGUAACUGCAGGAAAAGAAAUCAAAAGACAUUCCGCAAGUAGUGGCGAACGAACGCGGAGGAGCCCAAACCAGGCGGCUUGCCGUCUGGGGUUGCGGGACCCCGAUGUGAUAUCAUGGAAGUUAGUUGAACGAUCUGGAAAGUUCGUCCAAAGAGGGUGACAGGCCCGUAAACGACAACUGAAGUGAGUCUAGGGGUAUCCCAAGUAGGUCGGCACACGUGAAACUCCGACUGAAUCCGGGGAGACCACUCUCCAAGGCUAAAUACUAACCGGUGACCGAUAGUGAACAAGUACCGCGAGGGAAAGGUGAAAAAGUACCCCUGUUAGGGGAGUGAAAAGUAUCUGAAAUCAUGCGCUUACAAAGUGUGGGAGCCCUUCGGGGUGACCGCAUGCCUUUUGCAUAAUGAGCUUGCGACUUACUUUAUGUAGCGAGGUUAAGCCAGUGGCGAAGCCGAAGCGAAAGCGAGUGCGAAUAGCGCGUCUAGUUGCAUGAAGUAGACCCGAAACUGAGUGAUCUAUCCAUGGUCAGGCUGAAUCUCCGGUAACACGGAGUGGAGGGCCGAACCGGUAAGUGUUGAAAAACUUUCGGAUGAACUGUGGAUAGGAGCGAAAGACCAAUCAAACUCAGUGAUAGCUGGUUCUCUUCGAAAUAUCUUGAGGGAUAGCCUUGCGUUUAAUUAGUGCGUGGGGGUAGAGCUCUGAUUGUUAGAGGGUCCCGACAGGGAUACCAAAAACUGUCAAACUCCAAAUACCACGAUACUGUAUCGCAGGAGUCAGACUGUGGGGGAUAAGCUUCAUAGUCGAGAGGGCAUCAGCCCAGACCGUCAGCUAAGGUCCCUAAUUUAAGCUAAGUGGAUUGAAGGAUGUGGAGUUACGUAAACAACCAGGAUGUUGGCUUAGAGGCAGCCAUCAUUUAAAGAACGCGUAAUAGCGCACUGGUCGAGCGAUUCCGCGCCGAAGAUGAUCGGGACUAAGCUUAAAACCGAAGCUGCGGAUUCUAAGUUUACUUAGAAUGGUAGAAGAGCGUUGUAUGUGGAUCGAAGCCGAUAUGAAAAUGGAGGUGGACUUCAUACAAGUGACCAUGCAAGCAUGAGUAGCGAAAAACCGGAUGAGAAUUCCGGUCACCGAAAGACUAAGGUUUCCUGGGCAAGGUUCGUCCUCUCAGGGUUAGUCGGAACCUAAGGCGAGGCGGAAACGCGUAGUCGAUGGACAAUUGGUUAAUAUUCCAAUACCACCUUAUCGGAGUGAUGGAAGGACGCAGUUGCUAAUGUGAUUCUGGCUAUAUGCCAGUCGAAGAUCAUGGGACGCCGGGGGUUAAAUGACCCGGCAUCAGUCUGAAGAUUGACAGGCGGUGGAUCCUUCGGGUGAAUCCGUUUCACUGAUGCUAUACUGACGAGAAAAGCUCCUAAACGUUGAUGAUAGGGUGUCCGUACCGCAAACCGACACAGGUAGUCGAGGCGAAAAGCCUAAGGUGCGCGAGUGAAACCACUUCAAGGAACUCGGCAAAUUGGCCCCGUAACUUAGGGAGAAGGGGUGCCCGACGGGUGAAAGCCCGGAGGGUUUCAACAAAGAGGCCGCGGCGACUGUUUAACAAAAACACAGCUCUCUGCUAACUCGCAAGAGGAUGUAUAGGGAGUGACACGUGACCAAUGCCGAAAGGUCAAAUGGAUCCGUCAGCAGCAAUGCGAAGCGGUGAUAUGAAGCCCCGGUGAAUGUCGGCCGUAACUAUAACGGUCCUAAGGUAGCGAAAUUCCUUGUCGGGUAAGUUCCGACC
RNAcentral lists this ribosomal RNA (1838 nucleotides) under human gut metagenome. RNAcentral's name for it is "bacterial LSU rRNA". It matches the Rfam family "Bacterial large subunit ribosomal RNA", at positions 142 to 1988 of the family's 2925-position model. The record is from RNAcentral.